This is a long non-coding RNA of Gallus gallus (chicken), 1374 nucleotides long. NCBI's taxonomy places the organism in Eukaryota, Metazoa, Chordata, Aves, Galliformes, Phasianidae. The record is from Ensembl.
GUGUGGGACAAGGGCAUGCUGUCCUGCUGCUGCUCCCCCAGCGCCAGGAGAGGCGAGGAGCAGCAUCACCAGAGUCAGGUGCUGAGGGACAGACACGUGGGCCACGGUGCUCCUGCUCCAGCUGCAACCGCUGCAGCAAAGCUGAGCAGGAGCUGCAGCAGCUGGUGUUGCCGGCUCUCCCAGAGCACGUGGCCACUCUGGGCCCUGAGUUCUGGGAUGCGGCCUGGCGGGACCUGGAAAAGCUGGUGGAGCAAGGAAGCCUAUCCUGCUGCAGCUCCCCCAGCUCCUCCACACAGCUGGGGACAGUUGUACGUGAGAGCAUCAUGCAGACAGGUGCCGCUGUACGUUGGUGGGAGCAGAAGGAACAGCAGCCUGUUGGAUUGUCCAAGCGUCCACAAGAAGUACCCCACAUGCAAAAGACAGUAAGACCAGCAGCAGCAGCACCUUCACGCCUGGCUACGGAAGAUGACUGCUGCAGUGCAGCCAGCCAGCGUCUGAGCUGUGCCGUCUGUGGCAGGAGACGUGCAGAGCAGGCAGGCAGGCAGAGCGUGAAUGGCUGGCACUCGUGGCAGCGGGUGGCCCCCACAGCCCACCGGCCAAAUUGUCAGGGCUCCAAGCCAGGCAGGGGAGCCGCAGAGCAGCCCCCGCAGACCUGCACCUGCACCUGCAUGCGUCCACCUGCGCAUGAGGGACUUCAUCAACCAAAGCAGGGACAACGUUGCUGGGACAACAAGGCCCAGGAGCCUUCUGCAUUGCCUGUGUCCUGCCGAAUGCAUUGUGAGUGCUGUAAGACAGCGGGAUCCAAGAGGGAUGCACAGAAGCCAGAGCAGCACAGCAUAAGAAAUACGAACCGGCACGUGCAGUCGCCCCCCAGGCAUGCUGAGGAAGAGAUGUGGGGCUCCAAAGCAGACAGAGGUGCCCAAAGGCAGCCUCACGGGAUCUGCUCCUGCUUGCUGCCACCAGCGCGUGGGACAACGGUGCGUAGCAUUGCCUAUGGCUCCAUUGAGUGGCUAUGUUGGCGGUAGGAGGUGGCCCCGCAGGUUCCCGCAUGGCUCUUGGCCACCCCGGCACGUCCCAAGUCCCAGCCUGAAUACAGGGCAGCAGCACAGGCAGCACAAACAGCUUCAGUGCUGCCCGUGGAGGACAACGGCUGCCACGCCAACGUCACCGCUGUGGGAAGUGCAGAGAGCCAACCCGGCCCGAUGCCACCUCCUUCCGCGAGCGCACAUCGAGGAAGCAGAGGGGCCGUGGGUGCCCACGGCUUUUGUCAUCAGCAUCCACUUGGCUGUGGGAGGGCCCAGCGUGGAAGGACGUAACGGAGCACCGGGGAACAGCCAGCUCGCAGCUACAGUCCCAUUAAAUCCUCUUUCUAUC